This is a long non-coding RNA of Cavia porcellus (domestic guinea pig), 759 nucleotides long. RefSeq lists it as uncharacterized. The transcript is spliced from 3 exons. NCBI's taxonomy places the organism in Eukaryota, Metazoa, Chordata, Mammalia, Rodentia, Caviidae. The record is from RefSeq and is a predicted model, not a curated record.
GGGCUCUUCCCAUCGCUCUUGUAGAAGUUCUCACUGUGAGUUCAGUGCUGAGUGCCUGGAGCUGAGUUCAUGUCAAGUUUCUGUGACUUCUUACUGAAGACUGGGUAGGAUCCUUGGAAAUCCUCAAGCGUAGAGAUGGAGACAGUGACCUUUGAGGAUGUAGCUGUGAAGUUCACUCCAGAAGAGUGGGAUUUGCUGACUCCAUCCCAAAAGAAGCUCUACAGAGGAGUGAUGUGGGAAACAUAUAUGAAUAUUACUGCAACAGGAAAAAUAUGGAAUAAUCAGCAAAGUAAGGAAGAGGACAAAAAUUGCUCAAGUAAUAUAAGGUGACUGAAACACAGAAGAGAAAGAGAACAUUACUUAAUUGUCAGUGUGUGAGCAUAAAUAUUAAAACAAAGGAACCUGAAGAAAUGAGAUCAUGUUAUACCUUACUUAGCCUCAAAAAAUACCAAGAGAUAUACUUGAUUUUAUUUUGUAUUAUCUGGGAAUCCAUAGAAACAUAUUGAAAUAUAAGAAUCAGAGGUAAUUCUAAUACAUGUACUAAAUAACACUAUGUAAUGUAUCAGUUUAAAGAUUACCUUCGUGAUCAACAUCAUAGAAAUGUAUGAAAAUAAAUUUAAAUAUUGUAUUUUGAUAUGUAGGAAAUGAACAAAUUGUGAAAGUUGAUAAAAACCCAUCUUCAAAAUAUCAUUUAGAUAUACAUGUGAAUACUGAGACUUUCAUGAUCUAGAAUUCUUUUCACAUAGAAUCAGUAUUCCA